Molecule: ribosomal RNA, 274 nt
Filed under: uncultured bacterium
Lineage: Bacteria
Description: partial 16S ribosomal RNA
Rfam family: Bacterial small subunit ribosomal RNA
Source: RNAcentral
AUACGGAGGGUGCAAGCGUUAUCCGGAUUUAUUGGGUUUAAAGGGUCCGUAGGCGGAUCUGUAAGUCAGUGGUGAAAUCUCAUAGCUUAACUAUGAAACUGCCAUUGAUACUGCAGGUCUUGAGUAAGGUAGAAGUAGCUGGAAUAAGUAGUGUAGCGGUGAAAUGCAUAGAUAUUACUUAGAACACCAAUUGCGAAGGCAGGUUACUAUGUCUUAACUGACGCUGAUGGACGAAAGCGUGGGGAGCGAACAGGAUUAGAAACCCGGGUAGUCC